AACGAACGCUGGCGGCAGGCCUAACACAUGCAAGUCGAGCGCGCCCUUCGGGGUGAGCGGCGGACGGGUUAGUAACGCGUGGGAAUAUACCCGACACUAAGGAAUAGCCUCUGGAAACGGAGAGUAAUACCGCAUACGCCCUUCGGGGGAAAGAAUUUCGGAGUUGGAUCGGCCCGCGUUAGAUUAGGUAGUUGGUGGGGUAACGGCCUACCAAGCCUACGAUCUAUAGCUGGUUUGAGAGGAUGAUCAGCAACACUGGGACUGAGACACGGCCCAGACUCCUACGGGAGGCAGCAGUGGGGAAUCUUCGGCAAUGGGCGCAAGCCUGACCGAGCCAUGCCGCGUGAGCGAUGAAGGCCUUAGGGUUGUAAAGCUCUUUCGCCAGGGAUGAUAAUGACAGUACCUGGUAAAGAAACCCCGGCUAACUCCGUGCCAGCAGCCGCCGUAAAAC
Molecule: ribosomal RNA, 451 nt
Filed under: uncultured bacterium
Lineage: Bacteria
Description: bacterial SSU rRNA
Rfam family: Bacterial small subunit ribosomal RNA
Source: RNAcentral